Molecule: ribosomal RNA, 254 nt
Filed under: uncultured bacterium
Lineage: Bacteria
Description: partial 16S ribosomal RNA
Rfam family: Bacterial small subunit ribosomal RNA
Source: RNAcentral
UACGGAGGGGGCUAGCGUUGUUCGGAAUUACUGGGCGUAAAGCGCGCGUAGGCGGAUCUGCAAGUCGGGGGUGAAAUCCCGAGGCUCAACCUCGGAACUGCCUUCGAUACUGCGGGUCUCGAGUCCGGGAGAGGUGAGUGGAAUUCCUAGUGUAGAGGUGAAAUUCGUAGAUAUUAGGAAGAACACCAGUGGCGAAGGCGGCUACCUGGACAGAUACUGACACUGAGGCGCGAGAGCGUGGGGAGCAAACAGGG